GCGUAAAGAGCUCGUACGUGGUUCGUCACGUCGGAUGUGAAAAUCUGGGGCUUAACCCCAGACCUGCAUUCGAUACGGGCGAGCUAGAGUGUGGUAGGGGAGACUGGAAUUCCUGGUGUAGCGGUGGAAUGCGCAGAUAUCAGGAGGAACACCAAUGGCGAAGGCAGGACUCUGGGCCAUUACUGACACUGAGGAGCGAAAGCGUGGGGAGCGAACAGGAUUAGAUACCCUGGUAGUCCACGCCGUAACCGGUGGGCACUAGUUGUGGGAACCUUCCACGGUCUCUGCGACGCAGCUAACGCAUUAAGUGCCCCGCCUGGGGAGUACGAUCGCAAGAUUAAAACUCAAAGGAAUUGACGGGGCCCCGCACAAGCAGCGGAGCAUGCGGCUUAAUUCGACGCAACGCGAAGAACCUUACCAAGGCUUGACAUAUACAGGAAUAUGGCAGAGAUGUCAUAGCCGCAAGGUCUGUAUACAGGUGGUGCAUGGUUGUCGUCAGCUCGUGUCGUGAGAUGUUGGGUUAAGUCCCGCAACGAGCGCAACCCUCGUUCUAUGUUGCCAGCGC
Molecule: ribosomal RNA, 565 nt
Filed under: uncultured bacterium
Lineage: Bacteria
Description: bacterial SSU rRNA
Rfam family: Bacterial small subunit ribosomal RNA
Source: RNAcentral